CAUAUUGGAAAUAAUUGCCUAAAUGGUUGUUGGAUUAAAACUCCCGUUUUAAUCCAACAACCAUUUAGGCAAUUAUUUCCAAUAUG
This is a non-coding RNA of Podarcis lilfordi (Lilford's wall lizard), 86 nucleotides long. NCBI's taxonomy places the organism in Eukaryota, Metazoa, Chordata, Lepidosauria, Squamata, Lacertidae. The record is from the annotation of a GenBank genome assembly.